CAGAAAGUAGUUUAAUUAAAAUUUUAAUUUUGGGUAUUAAUGAUGGAGUAUUUUCCUUUUCUGA
This 64-nucleotide transfer RNA is filed under the name Tomoxia bucephala. Its description in RNAcentral is "tRNA-Pro". Lineage: Eukaryota; Metazoa; Arthropoda; Insecta; Coleoptera; Mordellidae. The record is from RNAcentral.